GACAGAGGGUGCAAACGUUGCUCGGAAUUACUGGGCGUAAAGCGCGUGUAGGCGGUUCCGCAAGUCAGGUGUGAAAGCCCAGGGCUCAACCCUGGAAGUGCACAUGAUACUACGGAGCUUGAGUACUGAAGAGGAGAGCGGAAUUCCCGGUGUAGAGGUGAAAUUCGUAGAUAUCAGGAGGAACAUCGGUGGCGAAGGCGGCCUCCUGGACACUUACUGACGCUGAGGUGCGAAAGCGUGGGGAGCAAACAGG
Molecule: ribosomal RNA, 253 nt
Filed under: uncultured bacterium
Lineage: Bacteria
Description: partial 16S ribosomal RNA
Rfam family: Bacterial small subunit ribosomal RNA
Source: RNAcentral